Lontra canadensis (Northern American river otter) is the source of this 98-nucleotide long non-coding RNA. RefSeq lists it as uncharacterized. The transcript is spliced from 3 exons. Lineage: Eukaryota; Metazoa; Chordata; Mammalia; Carnivora; Mustelidae. The record is from RefSeq and is a predicted model, not a curated record.
UAAGCCUAAUUGGGGGUUGGGGAGCUCUAGGGAUAUUUCCAACGUUUUCCUGCGGGGAUGAUCAGUUUUUAACAGUGCAAGGAUAGAAAAUAACAUCA